GACGAACGCUGGCGGCGUGCCUAACACAUGCAAGUCGAGCGGGGUGGAGGCGAGAGGUAACUCAAGCUUCUACCUAGCGGCGGACGGGUGAGUAACGCGUGGGCAACCUGCCUCAAGGAUCGGGAUAACAGCUCGAAAGGGCUGCUAAUACCGGAUAUGCCUAUGGCCUCGCAUGGGGCUGUGGGCAAAGGGGAAACCCGCCUUGAGAUGGGCCCGCGUCCCAUCAGCUAGUUGGUGAGGUGAAGGCUCACCAAGGCGACGACGGGUAGCCGGCCUGAGAGGGUGACCGGCCACACUGGGACUGAGACACGGCCCAGACUCCUACGGGGGCAGCAGUGGGGGAUCUUGCACAAUGGGCGAAGGCCUGAUGCAGCGACGCCGCGUGAGCGAAGAAGGCCUUGGUUGUAAAGCUCUGUCUGGAGGGACGAAGAAAGUGACGGUACUCCGGAGGAAGCCACGGCUAACUACGUGCCAGCAGCCGCGGUAACUAGUCUACG
Molecule: ribosomal RNA, 497 nt
Filed under: uncultured bacterium
Lineage: Bacteria
Description: bacterial SSU rRNA
Rfam family: Bacterial small subunit ribosomal RNA
Source: RNAcentral